UCCUACGGGAGGCAGCAGUUGGGAAUCUUGGGCAAUGGGCGCAAGCCUGACCCAGCGACACCGCGUGGGGGACGAAGGCCCUCGGGUCGUAAAACCCCUGUCAGGAGGGACGAAGCCGAAAGGUGACGGUACCUCCAGAGGAAGCCCCGGCUAACUACGUGCCAGCAGCCGCGGUA
Molecule: ribosomal RNA, 176 nt
Filed under: uncultured Eubacterium sp.
Lineage: Bacteria; Bacillati; Bacillota; Clostridia; Eubacteriales; Eubacteriaceae
Description: partial 16S ribosomal RNA
Rfam family: Bacterial small subunit ribosomal RNA
Source: RNAcentral